Long non-coding RNA from Bos taurus (domestic cattle), 1196 nucleotides. Lineage: Eukaryota; Metazoa; Chordata; Mammalia; Artiodactyla; Bovidae. The record is from Ensembl.
GGGAGGCAGUGCAUACCCUUCAUCCCAGCCUUCCAGAAAGACGCAGGCGCUCAUCUGCAAAGCCAGCUGCGGCUGAAUAGGAUGUGUUUCCAUCCUCCAGUGUUUCCUGUCUUUCUAGUGACUUCCUAUCUCUCGUUGAUUGACAAAUCGUUUUAAGAUGCUGGAGACUGAUGAAAAACAAAACCAAAUCCUGCUGUGAUCCUUUCACAGCUGGGCCCUUUCUGUUCCAUAUCUGAGUGGCAGGCAGGACUUAGUGUGAUCAAAAAGGAGAAGGCUGAAGGAACAUCGCUCUGAAGAGAGGAAGGCAAAGCCAGGGGCUCUGUCUCCAGGCCUAGAGCUCUGAGUCGCCCUGGCACAGGCGUGGGAAAGCUAGACCCGCAGAGAGGAAUGGGCAGAGCCCCCAAACCCAGGUACCAUUGGGCUUCCCUGGUGGCUCAGAUGGUAAAGAAUCUGCCUGCGAUGCAAGAGACAUGGAUUUGAUCCCUGGAUCAGGAAGAUCCCCUGGAGAAGGAGAAGCCCAUGGACAGAGGAGCCUGACUUUUUGCUGGAAGCAUCUCUGUGGACCUGAACUGCCUGCCGUGCUUCUGGAAGACUACUGUAUCUGCAUGCAGCGUCCCAAAGUCACCUGACAGGGCUUCAUCUCAGUCCUUCUUUUUUGGGGCCUCCAACUAAAUUGAAUAGGCCCUUCUCUCUUUCUGCAUCUUUUUUUCCUUACCCUUGAAGCAAAAUUCAAUUUCUCAGAGAGUUGCCUUCAUUAUUCGCUAAGCUGAGAUAAUCCCUGGAAAACACGUGAAGUACGCGGAGUACACAGCUCCCUGCCUUUCAGUGCCUCUCAAGCAACCUCAGAAACUCCCAUCUCACCUCCACUUCUAAUGCUGCCUCCUCCUGCUCCUGGCUUUUCUCCUGCCAUACGUCCUAGCCUAGGAGGCAGGUCUGUGGCAAACUGUGAUUUUAAGCAGUUGACUUCAUCUCCUUGGACCUUAGUUUUAAAGAAUGACAAUAUCAGAUCACUGAAUGAUCUAUGCCUCCUGUCAGUUCCCUCUCUCAUCUUAGACCUAGCCUUCCAGGUCCCACUCCUGCAGGAUCAAUAUGCUGUCCUUCCAGACAUUUUCUUUGAAUUCUUCCCAAGUGUCUUCUAGAGGCGGGGCCACACCUCCAGAGUAUAACUCUCCUGGGGGGAACAGCACACCCUGGAU